GGGCAGUGACGAUAAUUGCGCUUUCUGAUGGGUUGGGUCCCAUCAUUCAUCUGAUUCCAUGAUGACAUUAGGCGCUCCUGAGCUC
Mercurialis annua (annual mercury) is the source of this 85-nucleotide small nucleolar RNA. RefSeq annotates it as small nucleolar RNA snoR114. The transcript has a single exon. NCBI's taxonomy places the organism in Eukaryota, Viridiplantae, Streptophyta, Magnoliopsida, Malpighiales, Euphorbiaceae. The record is from RefSeq and is a predicted model, not a curated record.